Molecule: ribosomal RNA, 447 nt
Filed under: uncultured fungus
Lineage: Eukaryota; Fungi
Description: bacterial SSU rRNA
Rfam family: Eukaryotic small subunit ribosomal RNA
Source: RNAcentral
UUCAUUCAAAUAUCUGCCCAUCAACUUUCGAUGGUAGGAUAGAGGCCUACCAUGGUUUCAACUGGGUAACGGGGAAUAAGGGUUCGAUUCCGGAGAGGGAGCCUGAGAAAUUGGUACACAUUCCAAGGAGGCAGCAGGCGCGCAAAUUACCCAAUCCCGACACGGGGAGGUAGUGACAAUAAAUAACAAUACAGGGCUCUUUAUUGGGUCCUGUAAUUGGAAUGAGUACAAUUUAAAUCCCUUAACGAGGAACAAUUGGAGGGCAAGUCUGGUGCCAGCAAGCCCGCGGUAAAUUCCAGCUCCAAUAGCGUAUAAUUAACAGUUGUAGCAGUUAAAAAGCUCGUAGUUGAACUUACAGCCCUGGCCCGGAGACGGAUCUUGGCCCUUCACGGUAUGUACUGUCUUGCCUGAGGCUUACCUUCUGGUUGAGGCUUUGGCCAUUGCCAG